AUGGAGCCGACCUUGAAAUACCACCCUUUAAUGUUUGAUGUUCUAACGUUGACCCGUAAUCCGGGUUGCGGACAGUGUCUGGUGGGUAGUUUGACUGGGGCGGUCUCCUCCUAAAGAGUAACGGAGGAGCACGAAGGUUGGCUAAUCCUGGUCGGACAUCAGGAGGUUAGUGCAAUGGCAUAAGCCAGCUUGACUGCGAGCGUGACGGCGCGAGCAGGUGCGAAAGCAGGUCAUAGUGAUCCGGUGGUUCUGAAUGGAAGGGCCAUCGCUCAACGGAUAAAAGGUACUCCGGGGAUAACAGGCUGAUACCGCCCAAGAGUUCAUAUCGACGGCGGUGUUUGGCACCUCGAUGUCGGCUCAUCACAUCCUGGGGCUGAAGUAGGUCCCAAGGGUAUGGCUGUUCGCCAUUUAAAGUGGUACGCGAGCUGGGUUUAGAACGUCGUGAGACAGUUCGGUCCCUAUCUGCCGUGGGCGCUGGAGAACUGAGGGGGGCUGCUCCUAGUACGAGAGGACCGGAGUGGACGCAUCACUGGUGUUCGGGUUGUCAUGCCAAUGGCACUGCCCGGUAGCUAAAUGCGGAAGAGAUAAGUGCUGAAAGCAUCUAAGCACGAAACUUGCCCCGAGAUGAGUUCUCCCUGACUCCUUGAGAGUCCUGA
This 656-nucleotide ribosomal RNA is filed under the name Escherichia coli. Its description in RNAcentral is "partial 23S ribosomal RNA". It matches the Rfam family "Bacterial large subunit ribosomal RNA", at positions 2180 to 2831 of the family's 2925-position model. The record is from RNAcentral. Lineage: Bacteria; Pseudomonadati; Pseudomonadota; Gammaproteobacteria; Enterobacterales; Enterobacteriaceae.